Molecule: ribosomal RNA, 739 nt
Filed under: uncultured bacterium
Lineage: Bacteria
Description: bacterial SSU rRNA
Rfam family: Bacterial small subunit ribosomal RNA
Source: RNAcentral
GAGUUUGAUCCUGGCUCAGAGCGAACGCUGGCGGCGUGCUUAACACAUGCAAGUCGAACGCGCAGCAUUCUGCAGCAAUACAGGGUGUGGGCGCGUGGCGAACGGGUGCGUAACACGUGGAUAACCUUCCUUCAGGUGGGGAAUAACCCAGUGAAAAUUGGGCUAAUACCGCAUAACAUGACGAUGGCACAUGCCGUUGUCUUCAAAGGCGCAAGUCGCCAGAAGAGGGAUCCGCGGCCGAUUAGCUUGUUGGCGAGGUAAUGGCUCACCAAGGCAUUGAUCGGUAGCCGGACUGAGAGGUUGACCGGCCACACUGGAACUGAGACACGGUCCAGACUCCUACGGGAGGCAGCAGUGGGGAAUCUUGCACAAUGGACGAAAGUCUGAUGCAGCAACGCCGCGUGGGGGAUGAAGCUUCUCGGAGUGUAAACCCCUUUCGACCCGGAAGAAUGCCCGCAAGGGCUUGACGGUACGGGUAUAAGAAGCCCCGGCUAACUACGUGCCAGCAGCCGCGGUAAUACGUAGGGGGCCAGCGUUGCUCGGAAUUACUGGGCGUAAAGGGUCCGUAGGCGGUGCGGCAAGUCGAGAGUGAAAUCCCUAGGCUUAACCUAGGGGCUGCUAGCGAAACUGCCGUGCUAGAGUGUGAGAGAGGCGAGUGGAAUUACGGGUGUAGCGGUGAAAUGCGUAGAUAUCCGUAGGAACAUCCGAGGCGAAAGCGGCUCGCUGGAUCACAACUGAC